Molecule: ribosomal RNA, 688 nt
Filed under: Diastylis lucifera
Lineage: Eukaryota; Metazoa; Arthropoda; Malacostraca; Cumacea; Diastylidae
Description: partial large subunit ribosomal RNA
Rfam family: Eukaryotic large subunit ribosomal RNA
Source: RNAcentral
CUCCGGAGGCUUCGCGAAAGUAAACGUCGGCGCGCGAGUCGAUACGAUGGCAAACCCUAGGAGGUGGAGGACGCCCUCUGUCGACGAUUCCUCCCCGCCGAUUUAUGCCUAGGUGCCCGCCAGUAGCCCGUCCGAUCGUAUCCGUCCGAUUUUUAUGGCGCGAAACGAGAUAGACGGCGGGCACAUUGAGCGUACGGGCUAGUACCCGAAAGAUGGUGAUCUAUGCUUGUUUAGGACGAAGCCGGGGGAAACGCCGGUGGAGGUCCGUUGCGAUUCUGACGUGCAAAUCGAUCGUCGGAGCUGAGUAUAGGGGCGAAAGACCAAUCGAACCGUCUAGUAGCUGGUUCCUUUCGAAGUUUCUCUCAGGAUAGCCGGGGUCCGUUCGAAACCGAUCAGUUUCGUUCCGGUAAAGAGAAUGAUUAGAGGUCGCCGCGGGGAUGCAUCAACUUCCUCAGCCCAAUCUCAAACUCUAAAUGGGCGACAGCUCAGGAUGUAUUUGCCUUAUUUAACGGCGCGGGCUCGCUCGCGUCCGUAAAAAGUCGAACCCACAGGCAGGUGUCGAGUCGUCUCGACUCGAUACGAGCUCGAGCGGCGUCCUCCGCGACGUCGCCGAGCCUAGAAUUAGGGCCCCGAGUGGGCCACUUUUGGUAAGCAGAAUUGGCGAUGUGGGACGAACCAAACGUCGGGU